UUUUUUCGCGAGCUCCCGUAAGCGCACCCAGACGGUCAGCACCAUUCUAACCAUCGAACGUGUUCAGCAUCGUGCCACUAAGUUCAUCCUAUCUCUGCCAUACCAAACAGAUAUCUCGUAUAAGGAUUAAGGAGAGAUUGCAGAUUCUCGGCAUCAUCCCUCUAUGUUACUGGCACGAAUAUUUAGACAUAAUUUAUAUCUUUAAAAGUCUCAUAAAUGACUCUGACAGUAACAUCUCGGUCAAAGUCUCAACAUGAGAAACAAGAAGUGCAAG
Non-coding RNA from Paramuricea clavata, 274 nucleotides. NCBI's taxonomy places the organism in Eukaryota, Metazoa, Cnidaria, Anthozoa, Malacalcyonacea, Plexauridae. The record is from the annotation of a GenBank genome assembly.